RNAcentral lists this long non-coding RNA (741 nucleotides) under Prunus persica (peach). RNAcentral's name for it is "long non-coding RNA (PPER_LNC002507)". The record is from RNAcentral. Lineage: Eukaryota; Viridiplantae; Streptophyta; Magnoliopsida; Rosales; Rosaceae.
UUUUUUUAACUUUAAGUUUUUAAAAAAUUGUCUUUCCUUGAAGAAUUCAUGGAUCACUAGUGCCCACAAUGAGAAGACUAGACCUCCUUAUUUCAAAGCCUGCGACAAAUUGAAGCACUUAGCCCCAGCCGCCAGCGGAAGGAAGCCAUGUUGAAAAUGUUGGAAGAUUGUUACGUAACGUCCUUUUCUUCUCCCAACUGUUGCAUAUGGUAUAUGCCUUAGAAUCACAAUAGCCAUGCAUGCUUGAUCUCUGUUUGUGCAAAUUUCUACACGGAGAAUAUUCACGGGUUGAUUCUUUCGCCCUUCGUGUUUCCUUCUCUCUCAUCCUCGAUUCCUGUAAAAAAAUCGAGUAAAUAGACCACACCAGGGGGGGUGUUUGCCAAAGGCCCUCCGAUGCCUAAGUCAGUUCAAUUGAUCUUGAGAAAGAUACGACAAAGUAACUGAAAGGAUGGAGGCCUUCUCUCACGAGGAGAGCCAGGUGGCUGAAGCUGUGUGUGUUUUGGUGUGUGGCCGUGAAGGAGAAAGAGAGAGUAGCAUGAGAGAGAGAGAGAGAGGUUUUGCUAGGGUUUCAGAAUCUUACCAUGAGUGUGUUGCGUAGCCAUGUAUUUAUAGGCUCCUUACUUGGCUAGGGUUUGGAAAAUAAUCCCUCUUUAAUUAGAAUUAUUCUUGCCCAAAAAGAUGAUAUGAAUUAAUCAAAAGAGAUUUGCUAGAAAUUGGCUCCUUAAUUUAGGGAGAUAUUCC